Oncorhynchus mykiss (rainbow trout) is the source of this 299-nucleotide unclassified non-coding RNA. It matches the Rfam family "Metazoan signal recognition particle RNA". From Rfam's summary of the family: The signal recognition particle (SRP) is a universally conserved ribonucleoprotein. Lineage: Eukaryota; Metazoa; Chordata; Actinopteri; Salmoniformes; Salmonidae. The record is from Ensembl.
GCCGGGUGCGGUGGCAUGUGCCUGUAGUCCAAGUCACUGGGAGGCUGAGGUUGGUGGAUCAAGUGAGCUGAGGAGCUCUGGGCUGCAGCAUUCUAUGUCGAACGGGUGUCCACGCUAAGUUCGGUAUCGAUAUGGUGUUCCUGGGGGAGCCCGGGACCAACAGGUCGUCUAAGGAGGGGUGAACCGGCCCAGGUCGGAAACGAAGCAGGUCAAAUCCCCCGUGCUGUCCAGUAGUGGGAUAAUACCUGUGAGUAGAUGCUGCAGUGCAGCCUUGGCAAAACAUCGAGACCUAAUAUUUU